UAAAAUCGUUUAGAGCGCCCUCGUUCUUACUGAUUCAUAGAUGUCUAUACUAUACUAGAUUGAACUUCUCAAAAGAGCUGUAUCCCGCCCAUUUUCCGGUUCGGCCAUGAAGACCGCCAAGACAUGGCGGCGGUGUGUGUUUGUAGUGUGUAUGUGAAUACCCGAUGCGUAUGUAGUAGUGCGUGGUAGUGCGUAUGUGACACCUGAUGUGUCUACUACUAUUUAUGUUAGUAAAACUGCAAAUCUACAAACGAGAUAAUGCCGAAUAAGUAUUGUAAAUUUCAAAAAUACGAACAAGAAAGAAUAUCAUUUAAAGAUGAUUUCUAUCUUUCGUUGUUUUUAUAACCCUCACAUAUUACAAACCUCGAACAUUUAUUAUAUAUAAAUGUAUUC
This is a long non-coding RNA of Harpegnathos saltator (Jerdon's jumping ant), 393 nucleotides long. RefSeq lists it as uncharacterized. The transcript is spliced from 3 exons. The record is from RefSeq and is a predicted model, not a curated record. NCBI's taxonomy places the organism in Eukaryota, Metazoa, Arthropoda, Insecta, Hymenoptera, Formicidae.